Blumeria graminis f. sp. tritici 96224 is the source of this 84-nucleotide small nucleolar RNA. It matches the Rfam family "A. fumigatus snoRNA Afu_513". Lineage: Eukaryota; Fungi; Ascomycota; Leotiomycetes; Helotiales; Erysiphaceae. The record is from Rfam.
UAACAUGAUGAACUGGCACUGGGCUCCGACAAAAUGAAGGAUACGCCUAUCUGUGGCAGGCUUAGAAACCCUAGCCCUCUGAUA